Molecule: small RNA, 796 nt
Filed under: Spisula solidissima (Atlantic surf clam)
Lineage: Eukaryota; Metazoa; Mollusca; Bivalvia; Venerida; Mactridae
Description: cnRNA226
Source: RNAcentral
GAGCCCCUAAUGAAACCUCUGAGUGAUUGAGCCCCUAAUGAAACCUCUGAAUGAUUGAGUCCCUAAUGAAACCCCUGCAUGAUUGAGCCCCUAAUGAAACCCCUGCAUGAUCGAGCCCCUAAUGAAACCCCUGCGUGAUUGAGCCCCUAAUGAAACCCCUGAGUGAUUGAGCCCCUAAUGAAACCUCUGAGUGAUUGAGCCCCUAAUGAAACCUCUGAGUGAUUGAGUCCCUAAUGGAACCCCUGCAUGAUUGAGCUCCUAAUGAAACCCCUGCAUGAUUGAGCCCCUAAUGAAACCUCUGAGUGAUUGAGCCCUUAAUGAAACCUCUGAGUGAUUGAGUCCCUAAUGGAACCUCUGAGUGAUUGAGCUCCUAAUGAAACCCCUGCAUGAUUGAGCCCCUAAUGAAACCUCUGAGUGAUUGAGCCCCUAAUGAAACCUCUGAGUGAUUGAGUCCCUAAUGGAACCUCUGAGUGAUUGAGCCCCUAAUGAAACCUCUGAGUGAUUGAGUCCCUAAUGGAACCUCUGAGUGAUUGAGCCCCUAAUGAAACCUCUGAGUGAUUGAGUCCCUAAUGGAACCCCUGCAUGAUUGAGCUCCUAAUGAAACCCCUGCAUGAUUGAGCCCCUAAUGAAACCUCUGAGUGAUUGAGCCCCUAAUGAAACCCCUGCAUGAUUGAGCUCCUAAUGAAACCCCUGCAUGAUUGAGCCCCUAAUGAAACCUCUGAGUGAUUGAGCCCCUAAUGAAACCUCUGAGUGAUUGAGUCCCUAAUGGAACCUCUGAGUGAUUGAGCCCCUAAUU